This is a long non-coding RNA of Beta vulgaris subsp. vulgaris (sugar beet), 793 nucleotides long. RefSeq lists it as uncharacterized. The transcript has 3 exons. The record is from RefSeq and is a predicted model, not a curated record. Lineage: Eukaryota; Viridiplantae; Streptophyta; Magnoliopsida; Caryophyllales; Amaranthaceae.
UGUGCUUUUUGAACUAAAAAAAAAGAGAAGGGGAGAGAGAGAUGGAGAAGAUGAAACAUCACCAUACUCUAUUUUACCACAAUUCUGAAUCGAAGAAGUAAAGAACAUAAUCGUAAUGUCAAACUCGAAGAACGCUAUCUUCUCAUCUCAAAUCUCAAUCACGAGGUUUCUUAAAAACUCCUUUCUUGCUGAAUUAGGAUUUCAAUAUAAAGUUAGCAUAAUUUUUGAAUUGUAAUUGCUGUUUUUGUUUUAUGUAUCAUCUUUGGAGGUGUAGGUGGAAGAAAAAUCUAGACGUGGAAGUGGAGAGAGAGAUUACAAGAUAUUGUGAUGGUGAAGGUAGCUCAAAUUGUUUCAUCAAGUUCUCAGGUGGUGUAAACAUGCUGCUGGAACUUUUUGUUAAAGUGCCCAUCUUUGGAGCAGUCUCAUAUCUGGCAAUGGCUGUUCUUCUCAGUUAAGCUUUCUUUUAUGACAUAUUCUGGGUCUUCGUUUCCAAGUCGAUUUUCCAUGAGAGUGUUAUUCUCAAUUGGAGCUCUAGGAGACAGGGGAAGGUUUGUGGAUGACCCUCCCACUGGACUUGAGAAAGCAGUCAUCCCUCCUGGAAAGAAUGUUCGAUCAGCUUUGGGGUUAAAGGAAGGAGGUCCUCUAUUUGGAUUUACUAAAUCAAAUGAAAUAUUCGUGGGAAGAUUAGCACAACUAGGAUUUGCAUUCUCCUUAAUAGGAGAAAUCAUAACAGGAAAAGGAGCACUUGCACAACUCAACAGUGAGACUGGGGUUCCAGUAAACGAGAUUAAGC